Molecule: ribosomal RNA, 429 nt
Filed under: Malasseziales sp.
Lineage: Eukaryota; Fungi; Basidiomycota; Malasseziomycetes; Malasseziales
Description: SSU rRNA
Rfam family: Eukaryotic small subunit ribosomal RNA
Source: RNAcentral
CCUUAACCUGCUAACUAGCCCGGCCGACUUUGGUUAGCCGCUGGCUUCUUAGAGGGACUAUUGGCGUUUAGCCAAUGGAAGUUUGAGGCAAUAACAGGUCUGUGAUGCCCUUAGAUGUUCUGGGCCGCACGCGCGCUACACUGACGGAGGCAACGAGUUUCUUCCUUGUCCGGAAGGACUGGGUAAUCUUUUGAAACUUCGUCGUGAUGGGGAUAGAGCAUUGCAAUUAUUGCUCUUCAACGAGGAAUUCCUAGUAAGCGUGAGUCAUCAGCUCGCGUUGAUUACGUCCCUGCCCUUUGUACACACCGCCCGUCGCUACUACCGAUUGAAUGGCUUAGUGAGCCUUUGGGAUUGGCGGCCAGCACCGGCAACGGUAGCUGGCUGCCGAAAACUUAGGCAAACUUGGUCAUUUAGAGGAAGUAAAAGUCG